GAUGAAGAACGCAGCGAAAUGCGAUACGUAAUGUGAAUUGCAGAAUUCAGUGAAUCAUCGAGUCUUUGAACGCACAUUGCGCCCCCUGGUAUUCCGGGGGGCAUGCCUGUCCGAGCGUCAUUGCUGCCCUCAAGCACGGCUUGUGUGUUGGGCCUCCGUCCUCCACCCGGGGGACGGGCCCGAAAGGCAGCGGCGGCACCGCGUCCGGUCCUCGAGCGUAUGGGGCUUCGUCACCCGCUCUUGUAGGCCCGGCCGGCGCUUGCCGACACAUCAAUCUUUUUUCCAGGUUGACCUCGGAUCAGGUAGGGAUACCCGCUGAACUUAAGCAUAUCAAUAAGCGGAGGA
Molecule: unclassified non-coding RNA, 345 nt
Filed under: soil metagenome
Description: partial contains 5.8S ribosomal RNA, internal transcribed spacer 2, and large subunit ribosomal RNA
Rfam family: 5.8S ribosomal RNA (bases 1-120)
Source: RNAcentral